AUGGCGACGACUCAGAGAGCGACGGUUCCUCACGUCCGCAGCGACUCCGAGUCCGAUGACGAAGGCCGCCGCGCGCCCAACGUCAGCGUCUUCCGCCGGCAGCGGCCGGUGCACAGGUUCCUCGGCGGCCGGAAAGUGGCGGACGUGCUGCUGUGGCGGGACCGGAACCUGUCGGCGGGCAUGCUGGCGGGGGCGACGGCGGUGUGGUUCCUGUUCGACGUGGCCGAGUACAACUUCGUGACGCUGCUCUGCCACGCCGCGCUCCUCGGCAUGCUCCUGCUCUUCCUCUGGUCCGUCACCGCGCCGCUCUUCGACAGGGCGCCGCCGCGCGUUCCGGAGGUGAUCGUGUCGGAGCACGCCUUCAGGGAGACGGCCAUGGCGGUGCACCGCAAGCUGGAGCGCUCCGUGGCCGUGCUCUACGACAUCGCCUGCGGCAAGGACCUCAAGAAGUUCCUCUCGGUGAUUGGAUCUCUGUGGGUGGUGGCGGUGAUCGGGGACAACUGCAGCUUCACGACUCUGGUCUACGUUGGAUUCUUGUGCGCUCUGACGUUGCCGGUGCUGUACGAGAGGUACGGGACGGAGGUGGACCACCUGGUGGCCAAGGGCGGCGAGGACCUCAAGAAGUUCUACAGGAAGGUGGACGCCAACGUGCUGGACAAGAUCCCCAGAGGCCCCGUCAAGAGCAAGAGAGCGCACUUCCACUAG
RNAcentral lists this ribosomal RNA (705 nucleotides) under Triticum aestivum (bread wheat). RNAcentral's name for it is "partial small subunit ribosomal RNA". Lineage: Eukaryota; Viridiplantae; Streptophyta; Magnoliopsida; Poales; Poaceae. The record is from RNAcentral.